UCCGAUAUGGUGUAGUGGCCAACAUGAUGCCCUCUCAUGCACUUGAGAGGUUAGGCAUAGCCCCGAGUUCGAUUCUCGGUUUCGGAA
Molecule: non-coding RNA, 87 nt
Organism: Colletotrichum sp. SAR 10_99
Lineage: Eukaryota; Fungi; Ascomycota; Sordariomycetes; Glomerellales; Glomerellaceae
Source: the annotation of a GenBank genome assembly